UACGUAGGGCGCAAGCGUUGUCCGGAAUUAUUGGGCGUAAAGAGCUCGUAGGCGGCUUGUCACGUCGGGGUGUGAAAGCCCGGGGCUUAACCCCGGGUCUGCAUUCGAUACGGGCUAGCUAGAGUGUGGUAGGGGAGAUCGGAAUUCCUGGUGUAGCGGUGAAAAUGCGCAGAUAUCAGGAGGAACACCGGUGGCGAAGGCGGAUCUCUGGGCCAUUACUGACGCUGAGGAGCGAAAGGCGUGGGGGAGCGAAACAGG
RNAcentral lists this ribosomal RNA (258 nucleotides) under uncultured bacterium. RNAcentral's name for it is "partial 16S ribosomal RNA". It matches the Rfam family "Bacterial small subunit ribosomal RNA", at positions 524 to 776 of the family's 1533-position model. The record is from RNAcentral.